AUGAUGCUGUGUCAUGAUGCUGUGUCGUGAUGCUGUGUCAUGAUACUUUGUCAUGAUGCUGUGUUAUGAUACUGUGAUGUGAUGCUGUGUCAUGAUACUGUGUUAUGAUGCUGUAUCAUGAUGCUGUGUUGUGAUGCUGUGUCGUGAUGCUGAGUCAUGAUACUGGAUCAUGCACAGCCGCCAGACACACAAUGAGAUGUUGGCGGCAUAAGGCAAUGAGAUACAGAGGAUGAGGCUCCUGUCAGAUCCAGAGAGCUUCAAGGCAAGUGAUUAAAGCAGAGAAGGUAGUGUAAGGAGAACUACCGGGCGGGAGGUACCUUGGGGUAGAGAACCUGACGGCCAGAGAUACAAGUUGGGUACUAUGGUGUAGAGUGGUGAUAAGCGAGAGAUAAAGGUCAAGGUGUACUUUAGGUGGAGUGCUUCAACCCACUAGGUAUAUGGUCAUGGGUAUUAGGGAGUGGAGUGCGUCAUGGCACGAAAUAAUGGUCAAAGCCACUGUGAGGUGGAGUGUUUGAAGGCAAGAAAUUCAAGCAGAGGGUAGUUUAAGAUGGAAUGCUUGUUAGCAAGAAUUAAAGUCAUGCGUAGUGUAGGGUGAAAUGCCUCAAGGCGAGGUGUUCGCCAGGUUAUUGUAGGGUGAAAUGCCUCAAGGCGAGGUGUUCGCCAGGUUAUUGUAGGGUGAAAUGCCUCAAGGCGACGUGUUCGCCAGGUUAUUGUAGGGUGAAAUGCCUCAAGGCGACGUGUUCGCCAGGCUACUGAAGGGUGAAAUGCCUGGACGAGGUGUUAGGUCCAGGGUAUAGAGGAGGGUUCACUCCACGUUACAUGUUUCCGUGGUCAAGUUACCUCAUACCUGUAAACUGGCUUCAACCACACCGCCACCCACAAAACUUUGUUCUCUCUCUAGUGGUCAGGAGACCGUAAAUAUUUCUGAGCUGUGAGUGUGGCACACAUAUACACAUAUUUUCCUUCAACCAAAAACUAAUGUGUCCAUAUCUUCGCCAGUCGGCUAAUGCAAAACACUUGUCUCGGAGCAAAUUUUAUUGGAGAAAAUUAUAUCCUCAUUGUAUGCCGCAUUCGUUCUAGAAGAUCCAAACUUGAGUAUGUAGGUCAGAAAAAAUUGUACCCACAUUUUAUGAGUCGGGAGAAAAAGCUAAGUAUUUUUGUUUAGGUGCCGCCUGUGACUCAGGCAACCCCUCAGAUUUGGCCCACAAGAGCAGAUAACAAGACGUCCUGGUACACAAAAAGCGACCGCACAACAGACAUCUCCCCCAACAGGGCGCACGUGAUGGCCUGCUCCCCCGUGCUGGUGGCUGUGGGCAUCAUGUCAACCUACAUGACUGAAACCACGUGGUAAACCGAGUGUUCCAGCAGCAUCACACACAUACACACCCAAACCAACGUGUUUCAUAAGUAACAUAAACCAAGCAGAAAGCAACAAAAUAUUAAUAAAAGAAAGAAAGAUUUUGUUCUCGUAAAACUUCCGCCAAAGUGAACCUGCGGGUGACAACUACUGCUUGACGACCACCGCUGCUGUGUGGAAUGGCCCCUACACCCUCACACCGCCCCGCCCCACCCCGCCCCACCCCGCCCCGCCCUACCCCGCCCCGCCCCGCCCCGCCCCGCCUACCACAACAAGGAUACGUUAUCUUUAUUAUUAGGGAUAUUCUCUCACAUUCCUGUUAUUCAUUAGUAUCAGUAGCUUUUUGUCAUAAAGUCAGUAUAAGGAACUUGUAACAUAACAUUAAUCAUCGCUUCUUUAUGAGUAAGAAAAUGUUAAUAUAUACAUUCAUCUUAUAAAUGUGUGUAUACAAUUAUCAAAAAAUUACUUAUUUGUAUAUGUAUAAAUAUAUAUACAUAUAAAUGCAAUAUAUAUAUAUAUAUAUAUAUAUAUAUAUAUAUAUAUAUAUAUAUAUAUAUAUAUAUAUAUAUAUAUAUAUAUAUAUAUAUCAAUAAAAUUAAGGAACCAUGAUUAAUUUUUGGAGUCCAGUAAUACAUUUGUUAAGCUGAUAAAGGCUUCUUAAAGACUUGUUGUAUAUUAUAAUAAGUCUAAAUCAAAUGCUACUUAAUUUGUUAUUUAAAUGCACACGAGUUGAGAUAUAUGGUAGGCCAUGUGCAGUAGUCAAGUUCAGUCGACUGUGUACAGUGUGUUAGUACAGUGUAUUAACACAGUGUAUUAGUACAGUAUGUUAGUUCACUGUGUUAAUUCAAUGUAUUUGUAAAGUGUAUUAAUACAGUAUAUUAGUGCUGCAUAAUGUUUUGGUACAGUGUAUUAAUACAGUAUAUUAGUGCUGCAUAAUGUUUUGGUACAGUGUAUUAAUACAGUAUAUUAGUUGUAUCUCGAAAAGUUUGUAGCUUCAGUAAGAUUUAUAAAAACUAAUAUCAUGAAAAUUUACAUUUUGCAGUAAAUAGAUUUUUUCUCUAUAGAUAACUUAGAAUAUAUAUAUAUAUAUAUAUAUAUAUAUAUAUAUAUAUAUAUAUAUAUAUAUAUAUAUUAUGUAAAACUAGAGUAACUAUUUUAAUAAAGUGCAAUAGUGAAGCAUGACAACCCAACCAAAGGUGACAUACUGUUCCGUGAGUUAAACUGUACCAUUGUGUGUUCCUGUACCGUUCCUUGUACCGCUCGGCACGUGCCUUUUAAGUUACUGUAUAUUUUUGGACUUCAAUUCUCGAGUACUGUUAAGGGUGAAGCGAGGUUAAGGCCGCCAUCUUGCCCCCUACCACCAUGUAAGACAGGCCUUGGCUCUGCUCGUGUUGGGUCUAGUCUUUCUUUGGCUGACUCAGUUCUUACAACAUUUUAAUUGGCCACUUGUUGUUGUUGUUGUUGUUGUAUUGUUUUCCUAUCUGUGUUUAUCAUUUUGUCACCUCCUGAAUCUGUUGCGAGGGUCUUAAAGAUGUACACUUGUAUAAGACACUGUACUGGUUUGUGAGAGAAGGAGGUGGUGGGUGUGUGUGAGGCCGACCCCUCACCACUACUACACCACUUCCACACACCACUACCACACACCACUACCAUUACCACACACCACCACACACACCACUACCA
This 3040-nucleotide long non-coding RNA is filed under the name Homarus americanus (American lobster). RNAcentral's name for it is "uncharacterized LOC121861247". The record is from RNAcentral. Lineage: Eukaryota; Metazoa; Arthropoda; Malacostraca; Decapoda; Nephropidae.